Small nucleolar RNA from Juglans regia (Persian walnut), 117 nucleotides. RefSeq annotates it as small nucleolar RNA snoR137. The record is from RefSeq and is a predicted model, not a curated record. Lineage: Eukaryota; Viridiplantae; Streptophyta; Magnoliopsida; Fagales; Juglandaceae. The transcript has a single exon.
UUUAAUAGUUACUGGAAAUAAACUAUUUCUUUCAAUAAACUAUUUCUUUCUCAGUAUUAAACAGUGCAGUGUAUGCUUUUUGUUAUUGCACUGUGCUACCUGUCUCCUAGUACAUUC